This 322-nucleotide unclassified non-coding RNA is filed under the name Zea mays. RNAcentral describes it as "misc RNA Zm00001eb006980". The record is from RNAcentral. Lineage: Eukaryota; Viridiplantae; Streptophyta; Magnoliopsida; Poales; Poaceae.
CGAACGCGCCGACGUGCACCUGCACGGUGACCUCCACGGCCAGCUGGAGCGCGAGGUGGUCCUUGGACCCGCUGAACCCCUUCUCCACCGCCCUGGGCGUGCGUCCGUUGUGCUUCUGCCCCUGCAGCAGCACGCUGAAGUCGGUGGCGUCCUCGCCGCCGUCCGCGGGCUGCCCGACGUCGCCCUUGGCGAGGGUCGUCCCGUGGUGCGUGAGCCUCGCCCUGCCGCUCCUGUACCACAGCGCUGUCAUCUUGUUGGGGUUCACGGCCGUGAGGAACAAGUCGUAGUCCACGCGCUGCUGCCGCGUCGAGUUGAUCACGGC